GUUGGUUUCAACACAUCAAUUUUGAGAGGACACCAACAUUCAGUCCAUAACAGAUGCCUAAUAAGAACCAGAUAUAUUACACCUGGAUCAGCAAAGCUCUGAUCUAUAACCUACUAAAGCUCAGGUUAGGCUGGGAGGUAGCAAGGCCUGUCAGUUCAGAGGCUGGAGAGGGUAUGCUGGCAGUAUCUUUCCCACAAGGUCACCUUGCUUGGUACAGAAGGACAAGUAUCAAGCAUGGGUCACAGAUAAAAAUGAUGAUGUUCAUCAAAGAAGAAGUUUCUCUUGAUACAGGGAGAGUAUACUUUGAGCCUGCAUGUGGUUUGCUUACAGCAAUGUUUAAAGGCAUACUUAAUGUCCACAAGGGUCUGGAAGGCACUUGCAAAGUAGGGCUUGCCUUUGCUAUCGCUAUGGAAAUUGCAUGCCCCAAGUGGCCUGAUGGUUCUAGAAAGAUGGAGCCACUUGAAGAAGAUCACGGAUUGCAGAGUUGCCUUGGCCAACCAGCAGAUGUAUGAAUAUAAAG
RNAcentral lists this long non-coding RNA (520 nucleotides) under Suricata suricatta (meerkat). RNAcentral's name for it is "lncRNA (ENSSSUG00005006524.1)". Lineage: Eukaryota; Metazoa; Chordata; Mammalia; Carnivora; Herpestidae. The record is from RNAcentral.